This 249-nucleotide unclassified non-coding RNA is filed under the name Hevea brasiliensis (rubber tree). Lineage: Eukaryota; Viridiplantae; Streptophyta; Magnoliopsida; Malpighiales; Euphorbiaceae. The record is from RNAcentral.
UUGCAGCUUCGGCGAGGCACUAUCUGCUUCAACCAAUAAUAGCAGAUCACAAGACUUUGGAUAGUUUGCUUCUUACUGAUGCGGAUGGACAGGGGGUUCUCUGUAUGAACAAAGAUCAACUUGAGGAGUUGAGGGUGAAGCCCUUGUCUGCUUCUUCGGCUUCUAAGAGAACUCUUGUACCAGCUCUGAAUAUGAGACUUUGGUAUGCCACACACUUAGAAUUGCCUAAUGGGUUGAUACUGAAGGGCG